CCUGAAGGAACGUUGAAGACGACGACGUUGAUAGGUCGGGUGUGUAAGCGCAGCGAUGCGUUGAGCUAACCGAUACUAAUGAACCGUGAGGCUUAACCUUACAACGCCGAAGC
Molecule: ribosomal RNA, 113 nt
Filed under: Enterobacter cancerogenus
Lineage: Bacteria; Pseudomonadati; Pseudomonadota; Gammaproteobacteria; Enterobacterales; Enterobacteriaceae
Description: partial 23S ribosomal RNA
Rfam family: Bacterial large subunit ribosomal RNA (bases 1-100)
Source: RNAcentral